This 617-nucleotide ribosomal RNA is filed under the name uncultured bacterium. Its description in RNAcentral is "bacterial SSU rRNA". It matches the Rfam family "Bacterial small subunit ribosomal RNA", at positions 338 to 951 of the family's 1533-position model. The record is from RNAcentral.
CCUACGGGAGGCAGCAGUGGGGAAUUUUGGACAAUGGGCGAAAGCCUGAUCCAGCCAUGCCGCGUGCAGGAUGAAGGCCUUCGGGUUGUAAACUGCUUUUGUACGGAACGAAAAGACUCUGGUUAAUACCUGGGGUCCAUGACGGUACCGUAAGAAUAAGCACCGGCUAACUACGUGCCAGCAGCCGCGGUAAUACGUAGGGUGCGAGCGUUAAUCGGAAUUACUGGGCGUAAAGCGUGCGCAGGCGGUUAUAUAAGACAGAUGUGAAAUCCCCGGGCUCAACCUGGGAACUGCAUUUGUGACUGUAUAGCUAGAGUACGGCAGAGGGGGAUGGAAUUCCGCGUGUAGCAGUGAAAUGCGUAGAUAUGCGGAGGAACACCGAUGGCGAAGGCAAUCCCCUGGGCCUGUACUGACGCUCAUGCACGAAAGCGUGGGGAGCAAACAGGAUUAGAUACCCUGGUAGUCCACGCCCUAAACGAUGUCAACUGGUUGUUGGGUCUUCACUGACUCAGUAACGAAGCUAACGCGUGAAGUUGACCGCCUGGGGAGUACGGCCGCAAGGUUGAACUUAAAGGAAUUGACGGCUGAGAGNGCGACGACGACGACGAGGGAGGAGG